GUCGCCAUAGAGACGGCGGCGCUUGGCGGCGGGGGGAGCGGGUGCUGCCGUUCCUGAGGCGACGGGAGCGGGAGACGGGAGCCAUCCCGGGAUCCGCCGGGAGCGGGACCAUCCCCAGAUCCACCGGGAGCGGUACCAUCCCGGGAUCCGCCGGGACCGGGCUCCGGCCGCCGCUCUGCGCGCUGCCUCCCGCUGCCCGCGCAGUUAUAACACAUGGUUUUAAUGCUCUGAACAACUGAGAUGAGACUGAAGACUUCCCUUUUAAAGGAGCCAAAACAUAAGGACUUGGUGAGCUGUGUGGGAUGGACAACAGCUGAUGAGCUCUACUCCUGCAGCGAUGACCACCAGAUCAUGAAGUGGAACCCCGUGACCAGCGAGACCACUCGAGUGGUGAAGCUUCCAGAUGAUGUUUAUCCCAUAGAUCUGCACUGGUUUCCCAGAGGGAUUGGUGGCAAGAAGCAAUCCCAGGCUGAGAGCUUUGUUCUGACCAGUUCUGAUGGGAAAUUCCACUUGAUUUCCAAGUUAGGAAGAGUGGAGAAAAGUGUAGAAGCACAUUGUGGAGCUGUCCUUGCAGGAAGGUGGAAUUAUGAGGGAACAGCCCUGGUUACAGUUGGGGAAGAUGGGCAAGUGAAAAUCUGGUCUAAAAGUGGAAUGCUGAGAUCCACUUUGGCUCAGCAAGGAACACCAGUGUACUCAGUAUCCUGGGCACCUGACUCUGACAAAGUUCUCUACACCUCAGGGAAGCAGCUGAUUAUUAAACCCCUCCAGCCAAAUGCUAAAGUUUUGCAGUGGAAAGCCCACGAUGGCCUGAUUCUAAAAACUGACUGGAAUUCAGUGAAUGAUCUGAUUCUUUCUGCAGGGGAAGAUUGUAGAUACAAGGUUUGGGACAGUUUUGGCCGUGCCCUGUACAAUUCCCAGCCCCACGAGUAUCCCAUCACUUCCAUUGCCUGGGCUCUGGAUGGAGAAUUAUUUGCUGUGGGAUCUUUUAACACUUUACGUCUCUGUGAUAAAACUGGGUGGUCUUAUUCCCUGGAGAAGCCCAACACUGGCAGCAUUUUUGCCAUUUCCUGGUCCAUCGAUGGCACCCAGCUGGCCGGAGCGUGUGGGAAUGGCCAGGUCAUCUUUGCCCACGUGGUGGAACAACACUGGGAGUGGAAAAACUUCCAAAUUACCUUAAUGAAGAGAAGAACCAUGAAGGUGCACAAUGUCAUCAACGAUGCUGUGGAUUUGUUGGAAUUCCGGGACAGGGUCAUUAAAGCCUCCCUGAAUUAUGGAUAUUUGGUGGUUUCCACUUCCCUGCAGUGUUAUGUGUUCUCGACAAAGAACUGGAACACUCCAUUGAUUUUUGACCUGAAGGAAGGAACUGUGAGUUUGAUUCUCCAAGCAGAAAGGCAUUUUCUUCUUGUGGAUGGUGGAGGACUUUAUUUAUAUUCCUAUGAAGGCAGAUUAAUUUCCUCUCCAAAAUAUCCAGGCAUGAGAACAGACAUUUUAAAUGCCAAGACAGUGUCCCUGAGCAAUGACACCCUGGCAGUGAAGGACAAAGCUGAUGAGAAGGUUAUCUACAUAUUUGAAGCUUUAUCUGGGAAGCCACUGGGUGAUGGAAAACAUCUGACCCACAAGACAGAGAUUGUGGAGAUUGCUUUGGACCAGAAAGGACUGACAAGUGAGAGAAAAAUAGCUUUUACUGAUAAGAACAGAGAUCUUUUCAUCACCUCUGUGAAAAGGUUUGGGAAAGAGCAGAAGAUUGUCAAGAUAGGGACAAUGGUGCAAAGUUUGGCCUGGAAUGACACCUCCAACAUCCUGUGUGGGAUUCAGGAUUCCAGGUUCACAGUCUGGUAUUAUCCCAACACUGUUUAUGUGGAUAAAGAUCUUCUCCCAAAAACCCUGUAUGAAAAAGAUGCCAGUGAAUUCAGCAAAAACCCCCAGAUUGUGAGUUUUAUAGGAAAUCAGGUGACAAUUAGGAGAGCAGAUGGGUCCCUGGUGCACCUGCACAUCUCCCCUUACCCUGCCAUUCUCCACGACUACAUCAGCACCUCCAGGUGGGAGGAUGGGGUCAGGCUCUGCCGAUUUGUCAAGGACCAGACCCUGUGGGCUUGUUUGGCUGCCAUGGCAGUGGCCAGCAAGGACAUGACCACAGCUGAAAUUGCCUAUGCAGCCAUUGGUGAGAUUGACAAAGUCCAGUACAUCAAUUCCAUCAAGGAUCUGCCAUCCAAGGAAUCCAGGCUGGCUCACAUGCUGCUGUUCAGUGGGAACACCCAGGAGGCUGAAACCCUCCUGCUGCAGUCAGGCCUGGUUUACCAAGCUAUCCAAGUCAACAUUAAUCUUUACAACUGGGAAAGAGCCCUGGAUCUGGCAGUGAAGCACAGGACACACGUGGACACGGUCCUGGCUUACAGACAGAAAUUCUUGGAAGAUUUUGGGAAAAAAGAAACCAACCAAAGGUUUUUGCAAUAUGCAGAAGGUCUGGAAGUGGAUUGGAAUAAAAUCAAAGCCAAAAUAGAGCUGGAAAUUGCUAAAGAAAGAGAACGAGCAGCAGCCAGUGCUGCAGUGAGGAGCAGCGUGACUGUGCAGCAAUAAUUCACAUUUUGGGCACCUUCAAAAUGCUGCUUUGAUAUUUGGGUGAGACUUGAGUUCAUUCACUUCAUUUAUCCUUGGCCACAGUAAAUCCUCUCUGAUUUAAAGGAUCUCUUGAAUCUGAUAAAAAAUGGAGGUUGAAAAACAAACCUUCAGGUGAAAAAUAAAAUCCUCAAGUGAGGUAAAAGCAAAAAGCUCAGGUUGUCUUUGCCAUUAGAGACACCUUGAGAGGAGAGACAGGGAGGCGCUCGUGGCUGCUGCUCUGCACUGACCACAUCCUCAGUUCCAGGUGCUAAAGUCAAGCUAGGAAAGGAAAAAUAAAGGUGACCCUGCCAAAUCUGAUAGGCAGCUGCUGACCCACCUACGUGAGCGGCUCGUGGGGUAAAUUUGUUUCCUUUGUCCUGUUUACUGGUGAUGAUUUCACUGCUGAUAGCUGCGAGCCAUCCCCCUGCUGUCAGCCCCAGUUUGGGGUUAUAAUGUAUUUAUGACACAUUUUGGAGUGCUCAGGGACAAAAAUGAGGGAAAGAAUCUCAGCUGUGAUCCGGAGUUUGAGGAAGGAGGUGGUGGUGAUGCUGAGCUUCUGGCAAACAAGGAGAAACUGCUGUUUCUUUCUGGAUUUCAGGGGUUUAUUCUGCAUCUGUUUCCUCAUUUUGGGGACAUUUCUCCCUGCAGAAGGGGGCAGGAGCUGGGAGAGGAGGGCAGGAGGUGCCAGCAGCGGGUGCAGCCCCAGCUGCUUUAGGAGCUGCUCCUCACACAGGGGGGACUUUGGGGACCCUUUGCUCUGGGGGCUCAUCCCUGCCCGUGGCCAGCAGGAUUUGGGAUGCUCCAGCUCCAGCUCCAGCUCCAGCUCUGGGGGCCACAUUCCCUCCAGACCUGACAAUAACUGAUGUGUGGUGUUUUGAUGGCAAAUUGGGAGCAAACAGCAGGCGCCUGGCAAAACCUGCCCGGCUGUUAAUAGAGCUCAGCCUUUUAACAGCAUUUCUGAUCAGCUGGGACUCCCUCAGAGCUCCAUGAAAUAUUAAAGCCUGUUGAUAACUCGUUAAAACCAAUGUUUUGCCUGGCCCUGUGUGCUGUGAGCUGGGAUUUGGUGCUCAGCCUGCAGCAGUGGCUCGGGAGCAGCUCCUCAUCCCAUCGGACAAGGAAAACUGGCUGGAGUGAGCAGGGUACAAGAAGGAAUAAGGAUUCCUGCUCUGCAGCAACCCCAGCUCCCUCUGCCCCAUGCCUGGCUUGGAAAAAUGCAGGAAUCAGGAGGAAAUGCUUGGAAAAUACAGGCUCAGGAGGAAUUUGGGCCAGGGGAUUCAUCCUGGGGUGGCUGUGGAUAUAGGGGCUGCGUCCUCUGUGGGUUUUGGGGGAUUUGGGGAGGUGCAGCUGGUUCAGCUGCUGCAUUUUGGAAAUCUGUGGAGAGUGGGAGUGUGGUGGCAGGCAGGGACCUUUGAUUCCAUCAGGAUUCCACAGGCAGGGACAACUUCCACUAGAGCAGGUUGCUCCCAGCUCCAUCCAAGCUGGAAUUUCUGUGCCUCCCAAGCACAGCAGAGCACUGGGGCAGGACCAGGAGAUGUGAACAGGAAUAAACUCAUCAAUAGUGACCACAUCCUGCCUGCCCCAUCCCAAAAUCUGUAGGAAAGCCACUUUGAAACUCCCUGGAGUCAGGUAAAAUCCAGAGCCGCUGUGCUGGUGCUGGGAAGGAGCUUUCAAGUUGAUUUUCUCCAGUUUUGCAGGGGAUGGACAACUAUUGAUCCUGCAAAUGACCCCUGCAGAAACCCAUCGAUCCCUUUGGAGCAGCAGGAUCAUUAAGGCUCCAGGACUCCCAGACCUUUCAGGUGUCCUGCCAAAGGGCUGACACAGCAAAACAACCAUUUGAUGGUGUCAUUGUCCCCAAAUUGCCAUUUCGGGAGCUCCAAAGUCCUCCCCACGGGAAUCUGCUCCAUAAAAAUGCUCUUGGAACAGUGAUGCUUCACAUCUGAAUUCCCUUUGAUGUGUUUUUUCCCCCAAAUAUGGGGAAACUACUCAGGAAAAAAAUCAUGAUGACCUGAGGUUUGUUUUUUUGGGAAGACUCUGAGAGCCUCACGUGUUUGGUAGCUGGAAAAAUCCCAUGGAUUCAUGGAGGGAAGCACAGCUCUGGAUGUUGAUAGGAACAGGUUCAGCACUCUCAACUUCAAUGUUAUUUUUAUAUCUGGUUGAUCCAAACCUUGUGAUAAUUGAGGUUUUUUAUAGGAAUUAAGGAGCAAAUCGCUGCUGCACUGGAGGUUGGACAGAAAAUCUGUAGCUGCCACAUCCCUGGAAGUGUCCAAGGCCAGGUUGGAGCACCCUGGGAUGGUGGAGGUGAAUGGGAUUAAGGUCCCUUCCCACCCAAACCAUUCCAUGAUAAUCAAACACAGCCUGGUGGGAACCUCCUCCAAGGCCAAAAUAAUUCUUAAAUCGUUCUGAAUAGAACAAAAUACUUCUUAAUAUUCCUGUAAAAACUCCCAGAGAAGCUCCAAAGGAAGCCCAGCCAUCAGCAGGGCUCAGGGAAAGCUGGAAUUAAACCCCAAAGCUGAGCUCCAGUGCCUCCCCUUGCUCCAGCACAUCUGUGACUGCAAUAAGGCCCCAAACCCGAGGAGAUGACUCUGCAAAUGUAAAACAACUCCACCAGCCAUUACCUCACAGCUCAGAAAUCUCCUCUGCCAGCAAAUAUUUGCUGUUGGACUGUUUAAAACCCAGGGAAAGUGAGAGAGAGAGAGGCUGAAACCCUCCUGGACAACUCUGAUUCCUUCCCAGGCUGUUCACAAGUUUGGGUGUCCUCCAGAAAUGAAAUGUGUUUUCUGUAAUAAAUCAUUCCAAUCGAAUAAAUAAAUAAAAUUUAUUCAUUGCUAUCUA
Molecule: RNA transcript, 5430 nt
Organism: Parus major (Great Tit)
Lineage: Eukaryota; Metazoa; Chordata; Aves; Passeriformes; Paridae
Gene: IFT80
Gene name: intraflagellar transport 80
Exons: 23
Source: RefSeq, a predicted model, not a curated record